RNAcentral lists this transfer RNA (66 nucleotides) under Sorineuchora nigra. Its description in RNAcentral is "tRNA-Glu". Lineage: Eukaryota; Metazoa; Arthropoda; Insecta; Blattodea; Pseudophyllodromiidae. The record is from RNAcentral.
AUAUAUGUAGUUUAUACAAAACAUUACAUUUUCAUUGUAACAAUAAAUGAAUACAUUUCAUAUAUU